Oleiphilus sp. HI0009 is the source of this 74-nucleotide non-coding RNA. Lineage: Bacteria; Pseudomonadati; Pseudomonadota; Gammaproteobacteria; Oceanospirillales; Oleiphilaceae. The record is from Rfam.
GGGCCUUUAGCUCAGUUGGUUAGAGCACCCGACUCAUAAUCGGUAGGUCCCCAGUUCAAGUCUGGGAAGGCCCA